RNAcentral lists this ribosomal RNA (278 nucleotides) under Dasyhelea versicolor. RNAcentral describes it as "partial 16S ribosomal RNA". Lineage: Eukaryota; Metazoa; Arthropoda; Insecta; Diptera; Ceratopogonidae. The record is from RNAcentral.
UGAAUGGCUGGAUGAGGGAUUAACUAUUUUAUUUUAAUAAGUUGAAAUUUAAUUUUUAGUAAAAAUGCUAAAAUAAUUGUAUAAGACGAGAAGACCCUUUAAAUCUUUAUUAUUUUACUUAUAGUUUAUUAUUUAAUAUUAUUUAUUAAUAUAAAUAUAAUAAUUUUAUUGGGGCGAUAUUGAAAUUUUAUUAACUUUCAAAAUUUUUUUCAUAAAUAAAUGAAUUUUUGAUCCAUUAGUAAUGAUUAAUAAAUUAAGUUACUUAAGGGAUAACAGCG